RNAcentral lists this unclassified non-coding RNA (328 nucleotides) under soil metagenome. RNAcentral's name for it is "partial contains 5.8S ribosomal RNA, internal transcribed spacer 2, and large subunit ribosomal RNA". The stretch from base 5 to 119 matches the Rfam family "5.8S ribosomal RNA", at positions 40 to 154 of the family's 154-position model. The record is from RNAcentral.
GAUGAGAACGUAGUGAAAUGCGAUAAGUAAUGUGAAUUGCAGAAUUCAGUGAAUCAUCGAAUCUUUGAACGCACAUUGCGCCCCCUGGUAUUCCGGGGGGCAUGCCUGUUCGAGCGUCAUUACAACCCUCAAGCUCUGCUUGGUGUUGGGCCCCGCCGCCCCGGCGGGCCCUAAAAUCAGUGGCGGUGCCGUCCGGCUCCGAGCGUAGUAAUUCUUCUCGCUCUGGAGGUCCGGGUGUGUGCUCGCCAGCAACCCCCAAUUUUUUUCAGGUUGACCUCGGAUCAGGUAGGGAUACCCGCUGAACUUAAGCAUAUCAAUAAGCGGAGGA